Long non-coding RNA from Zingiber officinale, 2487 nucleotides. RefSeq lists it as uncharacterized. The record is from RefSeq and is a predicted model, not a curated record. NCBI's taxonomy places the organism in Eukaryota, Viridiplantae, Streptophyta, Magnoliopsida, Zingiberales, Zingiberaceae. The transcript is spliced from 4 exons.
ACCAUUUUUUUUAACACUACGUAACCUAACUUCUUCCACAAACCUCCCUUCACGAAAUUAACCUAGCCUCUCCGCCAAAACGUCAAAACUCAUCUCCGCCGAAACCAACUUUCACCCCUUCAUCCACCGGCCAACUCCCAGGUCUCCACCGUCAUCCGGCCGACUGCCAUCCCUCAUUCCAUCUUCUCCAAUCAAGCAACAUCAUCUUCCCGGCGCCAGCAUAAGUCGUUGUCUUCUUCUCUAUCUUCCUCCUUUACUACAUCCGGCCAACCACCUCCUCUCCAUCACCGCUGGUGGAGUUACUUACUCUCAUCUCUCCUAUUCAGAUUAGAAGAGGAGAGGCCAUAGCUUCCUUCCGGCAGCCACCUCUCUUCCAUCCAUCAUCCGACAACUUCUCCUUGGGUUAGAGGAGGAACUAAAGCCUUCCCCUUUCUCUCCUCGGGUUAGAAGAGAGGAAGCUCCACUCCUACUUUCGGUAAUCCCCUCUUUCACUAGCUCUUCUCUACCUCAUCAAGCUCCGAAUUCGUUUCCACAACAUCACCACCUCUCCUCUUCUGGAUUAGGAAGAGGAGAGCUUUAUACCUACCACCGACAACCCCCAUUCCCUCUCUACUUCGGGUUAGAAGUGGAGAGUUCCUUUCCUCCACUCCGGCAGCCCUUCAUCAUUUCCAAGCAACUUGCUCCACUCCGGAAGCCCUCCAUAUUCCCUCUUUUGGUUAGAAGAGGGGAAGAGGUCACUUCUAGACAACCACUACAUCUGAAGGUCCAUCCGCAACUGAAGCUUCAUUCACGUCAACGAUAUUAGGGACCACUAGGAAAAAAAUGCCAAAUUACCUAUUUCAACUGCUGCUCAAUUGAGAACAAUGCGAAAGCGAUCUGACAACUAUCUUGUUCUAAACAUCGAGUCUGGGUCUGAUCAUUCAGUUGCAGUAGAGUCUGAUGCUAAAGGUUUGCACUUCAACCUUCUGAUCAGAAAAGGAAUUCAUCAUUAAGUCAUGUUUUCAAAUCUCUGAAUACUUUUGAUCUAAUCCCAAGACAAGAAAAACUGAUUGCGGAUAGACUUGAUAAUAUUUGGUGAGUUCUAAAUCAAUAUCUUCAAGUUUGAUGUUGUUUUGGUAUUUUUCUUUCUUGAUAUUUUCCUCCAAAGAUCUUGUAAAUCUUUUUUAAUGCAAAGUCAUAUAUCUAUUUGAAAUAAAACUACGGUCAUUAGAUCCUCUAGUCUAGUAUACAUUUUACAUAGAACAUCAUUAAGGCUUCAAAAUAUCUGAUUUAUUUGAACUUUUCUUUAACGUCAGUUCAAAUAAAGCUUGCAAACUAAUGAUCUAAGCAGUUCAUAGAAAUUGAUCUUCAUAUUUGAAGAGAUUUUAGUUUCCUUGACGAAGCAAAUAAAUUCAUUUUCAAGGCAUUUUUCUUCUCAUGGUAUGGUACCUAGCACCAGCAAACUUAAGUUAUCAAGAAAUAACUUGCAACUCUGCCUACAAGAUUCUUAUUUCAUACUAGCAAACUAUUUUUGUUAUUAUGGAAAUACCGUUCAAUCUAAGACAUGAUUUUUGUAGGGUUUCCAGGGGUCAUCUUAUGAUGCACCGGCCUAGUGCAAGGCUAGGUCUCAUGGCGUAUAUGAUCUUCAUGCAUCUAUGGUUGCUAGGAGUCAUAUUAUGAUAUGACUAAUAAAUUUAGGCUACAAAUUAUAUGAUUAGAAUGUAAUAUAUCUUUUCAUUAAGGGGCUUAGAUGAUGCAAUGCUAGGAGAGGUUGAAAAUGAUAUGCCAAUACUGCAGGUAUGACUCAUCAUUGCUUUCUUGGCAGAAUCAAAUAAACCCAUUUUAAAUCUUCAUGUUUCGAGUAAGUUGUUGUUAAAUUGUUUGCUUAUAUACAAGAUCAUUAAAGUUUGCCAAAUAUUUUCAUCCCUUCUUACAGAAGUUGAAAACCUAGCCUUGCAAGAAUGCUAGUUGGAUGAGUGCAUCGGGUUUGGUUCCAAUACUAAAUGUAGCUUCUAUCUACAGAUGCCUAACAUGCUACAAUAUGCAUAGUGUGCUGAAAUGUUCUAGUUUUUAUAGCAAAAUGCAAGAAAACAUGAGUGUGUUCACUGAAGAAGAAAGUAAUCAAAAGCUGCUUUACCUGAUCGAAGAUGACAUCAAAAGAUUACCCUGCUUUCAGAUUACAGGAACAACAACUAUAUGCUAUGUGGCACUGCAUCCGAACUUCAGGGGUGUGACUGAGAAGUACUUCGACGAAGAACUAUCAAGAAGGCUUUAAGCGAGAAGAUGGUUAAAGUCAAUGAGUAAAGAACAUUCAAGUCAAGAGGAUAAGUAGCAUCUAUCAAGAUCCUUUAAGUUCAUGCAAUAAGAUGUAGUCGAUAGGAGUAGUUUUGAGUGUCUCCUAAUUAAAAUUUCUUUGUAUGCGAGUAAUUAUAUUUAUUAUAGAAGUAUAAGAAUGAUAAUUUGUAUAUUUAUCUUGGUUGUUUAUUUAAUAAUAUGUUGUUAAUUGAA